RNAcentral lists this non-coding RNA (63 nucleotides) under Hyphomicrobiales bacterium. RNAcentral's name for it is "Rhizobiales bacterium Fluoride sequence". It matches the Rfam family "Fluoride riboswitch aptamer (crcB RNA motif)". The record is from RNAcentral. Lineage: Bacteria; Pseudomonadati; Pseudomonadota; Alphaproteobacteria; Hyphomicrobiales.
CGUUCAGGCGGGGAUGGAGUCCCCCGCUAACCGCCUUUCCAGGCUGAUGACUCCUACUGUCGG